RNAcentral lists this unclassified non-coding RNA (364 nucleotides) under uncultured bacterium. RNAcentral describes it as "contains 16S-23S intergenic spacer region". The record is from RNAcentral.
UCCCUGUUACCAGGGCUGUAUCCUAUGAAAAAUCCAACAUAGGAUGAGGGUUUCGUUCGUUCAAGGACUUAACCUCACAGCUCACGCCACGAACUGACGACGACCGUGCAGCACCUGUCUUUGGGCUCCUUGCGGCACCCUCUCGUUUCUGAGAGGUUCCCAAGAUGUCAAGCCCUGGAUAAGGUUUCUCGGUUAUUGUCGAAUUAAACCACAUGCUCCACCACUUGUGCGAGCCCCCGCCAAUUCCUUUGAGUUUUAAUCUUGCGAUCGUACUUCCCAGGCGGUCAACUUGACGCGUUAGCUUCGCAACAGAGAGGGUCGACUCUCCCAAUUGCUAGUUGACAGCGUUUACGGCGUGGACUAC